GAAAGGGCUUGUCAUGUUCAACAAUUUCUGGUAUCAAAGCUAGGUUAGCCAACAAUUUGGUGAAAGGUUUCUUUGCUGAUAAGAUGAAUGAUCUUCAAGUUGUUGGAAGAAUCAAGAGGCUCAACAACCAGAAUUACAACACAUGGGCAACGUGCAUGACUUACUACACGCAAGGCCAAGACCUAUGGGAGGUUGUCAACAGUAGCCAAGUUAUAUAACCAGAGGCAAAGGAUGCAAAUGGUGCCUUACAGAAGUGGAAGGUAAAAGCAAUCAAAGCAAUGUUUGCUCUAAAGACUACAAUAGAAAA
Molecule: unclassified non-coding RNA, 307 nt
Filed under: Hevea brasiliensis (rubber tree)
Lineage: Eukaryota; Viridiplantae; Streptophyta; Magnoliopsida; Malpighiales; Euphorbiaceae
Source: RNAcentral